GGGCCCUAUACAUGCCAAGUAGAACGCUGAAGAGAGGAGCUUGCUCUUCUUGGAUGAGUUGCGAACGGGUGAGUAACGCGUAGGUAACCUGCCUUGUAGCGGGGGAUAACUAUUGGAAACGAUAGCUAAUACCGCAUAACAAUGGAUGACACAUGUCAUUUAUUUGAAAGGGGCAAUUGCUCCACUACAAGAUGGACCUGCGUUGUAUUAGCUAGUAGGUGAGGUAAUGGCUCACCUAGGCGACGAUACAUAGCCGACCUGAGAGGGUGAUCGGCCACACUGGGACUGAGACACGGCCCAGACUCCUACGGGAGGCAGCAGUAGGGAAUCUUCGGCAAUGGGGGCAACCCUGACCGAGCAACGCCGCGUGAGUGAAGAAGGUUUUCGGAUCGUAAAGCUCUGUUGUAAGUCAAGAACGGGUGUGAGAGUGGAAAGUUCACACUGUGACGGUAGCUUACCAGAAAGGGACGGCUAACUACGUGCCAGCAGCCGCGGUAAUACGUAGGUCCCGAGCGUUGUCCGGAUUUAUUGGGCGUAAAGCGAGCGCAGGCGGUUUGAUAAGUCUGAAGUUAAAGGCUGUGGCUCAACCAUAGUUCGCUUUGGAAACUGUCAAACUUGAGUGCAGAAGGGGAGAGUGGAAUUCCAUGUGUAGCGGUGAAAUGCGUAGAUAUAUGGAGGAACACCGGUGGCGAAAGCGGCUCUCUGGUCUGUAACUGACGCUGAGGCUCGAAAGCGUGGGGAGCGAACAGGAUUAGAUACCCUGGUAGUCCACGCCGUAAACGAUGAGUGCUAGGUGUUGGAUCCUUUCCGGGAUUCAGUGCCGCAGCUAACGCAUUAAGCACUCCGCCUGGGGAGUACGACCGCAAGGUUGAAACUCAAAGGAAUUGACGGGGGCCCGCACAAGCGGUGGAGCAUGUGGUUUAAUUCGAAGCAACGCGAAGAACCUUACCAGGUCUUGACAUCCCGAUGCUAUUUCUAGAGAUAGAAAGUUACUUCGGUACAUCGGUGACAGGUGGUGCAUGGUUGUCGUCAGCUCGUGUCGUGAGAUGUUGGGUUAAGUCCCGCAACGAGCGCAACCCCUAUUGUUAGUUGCCAUCAUUCAGUUGGGCACUCUAGCGAGACUGCCGGUAAUAAACCGGAGGAAGGUGGGGAUGACGUCAAAUCAUCAUGCCCCUUAUGACCUGGGCUACACACGUGCUACAAUGGUUGGUACAACGAGUUGCGAGUCGGUGACGGCGAGCUAAUCUCUUAAAGCCAAUCUCAGUUCGGAUUGUAGGCUGCAACUCGCCUACAUGAAGUCGGAAUCGCUAGUAAUCGCGGAUCAGCACGCCGCGGUGAAUACGUUCCCGGGCCUUGUACACACCGCCCGUCACACCACGAGAGUUUGUAACACCCGAAGUCGGUGAGGUAACCUUUUGGAGCCAGCCCGGCCCCU
This 1435-nucleotide ribosomal RNA is filed under the name Streptococcus thermophilus. RNAcentral describes it as "bacterial SSU rRNA". It matches the Rfam family "Bacterial small subunit ribosomal RNA". The record is from RNAcentral. Lineage: Bacteria; Bacillati; Bacillota; Bacilli; Lactobacillales; Streptococcaceae.